GACGAACGCUGGCGGCGUGCUUAACACAUGCAAGUCGAACGGAAAGGCCCUGCUUUUGUUGGGUGCUCGAGUGGCGAACGGGUGUGUAACACGUGAGUAACCUGCCCUUGACUUUGGGAUAACUUCAGGAAACUGGGGCUAAUACCGGCUAGGAGCUGCUGCUGCAUGGUGGGGGUUGGAAAGUAUGGGCGGUUGGGGAUGGACGCGGGGCUUAUCAGCUUGUUGGUGGGGUAGUGGCUUACCAAGGCUUUGACGGUUAGCCGGCCUGAGAGGGUGACCGGCCACAUUGGGACUGAGGUACGGGCCAGACUGCUACGGGAGACAGCAGGGGAAAAUAUUGCAAAAUGGGCGGAAGCCUGAUGCAGCAACGCCGCGUGCGGGAUGACGGCCUUCGGGUUGUAAACCGCUUUCGCCUGUGACGAGGCGUGAGUGACGGUAAUGGGUAAAGAAGCACCGGCUAACUACGUG
Molecule: ribosomal RNA, 468 nt
Filed under: uncultured bacterium
Lineage: Bacteria
Description: partial 16S ribosomal RNA
Rfam family: Bacterial small subunit ribosomal RNA
Source: RNAcentral